RNAcentral lists this ribosomal RNA (231 nucleotides) under uncultured bacterium. RNAcentral describes it as "partial 16S ribosomal RNA". It matches the Rfam family "Bacterial small subunit ribosomal RNA", at positions 100 to 334 of the family's 1533-position model. The record is from RNAcentral.
CGGGACGGGUGAGUAAUGUCUGGGAAACUGCCUGAUGGAGGGGGAUAACUACUGGAAACGGUAGCUAAUACCGCAUAACGUCGCAAGACCAAAGAGGGGGACCUUCGGGCCUCUUGCCAUCGGAUGUGCCCAGAUGGGAUUAGCUAGUAGGUGGGGUAACGGCUCACCUAGGCGACGAUCCCUAGCUGGUCUGAGAGGAUGCCAGCACACUGGAACUGAGACACGGUCCAG